UACAGGGGUCCCGAGCGUUGUUCGGAUUCACUGGGCGUAAAGGGUGCGCAGGUGGGUUUGCAAGUUUGAUGUGAAAGCCCCGGGCUUAACCCGGGAAUGGCAUUGAAUACUGCAGAUCUGGAGGAUUGGAGGGGGGACUGGAAUUCUUGGUGUAGCAGUGAAAUGCGUAGAUAUCAAGAGGAACACCAGUGGCGAAGGCGAGUCCCUGGACAAUACCUGACACUGAGGCACGAAAGCCAAGGGAGCAAACAGG
This 253-nucleotide ribosomal RNA is filed under the name uncultured bacterium. Its description in RNAcentral is "partial 16S ribosomal RNA". It matches the Rfam family "Bacterial small subunit ribosomal RNA", at positions 524 to 776 of the family's 1533-position model. The record is from RNAcentral.